GCACCCGUAGCUCAGCUGGAUAGAGUACUCGGCUACGAACCGAGUGGUCAAAGGUUCGAAUCCUUUCGGGUGCGCCA
This is a transfer RNA of 77 nucleotides. It matches the Rfam family "tRNA". From Rfam's summary of the family: Transfer RNA (tRNA) molecules are approximately 80 nucleotides in length.